AUGCAAGCACUUGGUUUUAUUCCUUCAAAGUCUGACACUUCAUUAUUCAUUUAUAACAAGUCAAAAAUAUCCAUAUUUGUUCUCAUUUAUGUUGAUGAUAUAAUUGUGACAAGUUCAUCUGAUGAAGCAAUAACAGCACUGUUGAAGGAUUUAAGUGCAGAAUUUGCUCUCAAGGAUCUAGGAGAUCUACACUACUUUCUUGGCAUUGAGGUUAAGCAGCACAAGGAUGGCCUUCAUCUCUCUCAAGAAAAGUAUGCAACAGACUUAGUGAAAAAGGCUGGUCUACAGAGUUGUAAGCCUGCGCCCACUCCUUUAUCUAGCACAGAAAAAUUAUCUCUUACUGAAGGAGAACUUCUGGACUCAGAAAAUAGUACAAAGUACAGAAGUUUGGUAGGUGCUCUUCAAUACUUGACAUUGACACGGCCAGAUAUCUCAUUUGCUGUCAAUAAAGUAUGUCAAUUCCUUCAUGCACCUACCACAGUUCACUUGACUGCUGCAAAGCGCAUAGUGAGAUAUGUGAAAAAUACAUUAAGCAUUGGUUUGAAUUUUAGCAAGUCAUCUUCCACACUUAUCAGUGCUUUCUCUGACUCAGAUUGGGCAGGAUGCUUAGAUGAUAGACGCGCAACCGGUGGUUUUGCAGUAUUCUUUGGACCUAAUUUGAUAUCUUGGAGUGCAAGGAAGCAAGCCACGGUUUCUAGAUCUAGCACAGAAGUAGAAUACAAAGCAUUGGCCAAUGCAACCGCAGAGAUCAUAUGGGUGCAGUCAAUUUUGAAAGAACUAGGCAUGAAAAACACUAAGGCUCCAUGUCUAUGGUGUGAUAAUCUAGGUGCUACCUAUUUGUCAGCAAAUCCAGUUUUCCAUGCUAGAAGUAAACAUAUUGAGAUAGAUUUUCACUUUGUUCGUGAGAGAGUUGGAAACAAACUCUUAGACAUUCGGUUUAUUCACUCCCAAGACCAAGUUGCAGAUGGGUUUACCAAAGCUCUUCCUACAAAAAGUUUUGAGGCUUUCAAG
This 1011-nucleotide ribosomal RNA is filed under the name Triticum aestivum (bread wheat). RNAcentral's name for it is "partial small subunit ribosomal RNA". Lineage: Eukaryota; Viridiplantae; Streptophyta; Magnoliopsida; Poales; Poaceae. The record is from RNAcentral.